CCCUUAGAUGUUCUGGGCCGCACGCGCGCUACAAUGAUGAAUUCAACGAGUUUAUAACCUUGGUUGAAAAGCCUGGGUAAUCUUUUGAACUUUCGUCGUGAUGGGGCUAGACCCUUGCAAUUAUUGGUCUCCAACGAGGAAUUCCUAGUAAACGCAAGUCAUCAGCUUGCAUUGAUUACGUCCCUGCCCUUUGUACACACCGCCCGUCGCACCUACCGAUUGAAUGGUCCGGUGAAAUCUUUGGAUUGAGACUUUGAUUUCUUCACGGAAAACGCUGUUUUAAAAAGUUGAUUAAACCUUACCAUUUAGAGGAAGGUGAAGUCGUAACA
RNAcentral lists this ribosomal RNA (329 nucleotides) under uncultured eukaryote. RNAcentral describes it as "partial 18S ribosomal RNA". It matches the Rfam family "Eukaryotic small subunit ribosomal RNA", at positions 1470 to 1796 of the family's 1831-position model. The record is from RNAcentral.